AUACGGAGGGUGCAAGCGUUAUUCGGAAUUAUUGGGCGUAAAGGGCGCGCAGGCGGUUUUGUAAGUCAGAUGUGAAAGCCCGGGGCUUAACCCCGGAAGUGCAUUUGAUACUGCGAGACUUGAGUAUGGGAGGGGGAAGUGGAAUUCCUGGUGUAGAGGUGAAAUUCGUAGAUAUCAGGAGGAACACCAGUGGCGAAGGCGACUUCCUGGACCAAUACUGACGCUGAGGCGCGAAGGCGUGGGGAGCAAACAGGAUUAGAUACCCUGGUAGUCCACGCAGUAAACGGUGAGAACUAGGUGUAGCGGGUAUUGACCCCUGCUGUGCCGCAGUUAACGCAUUAAGUUCUCCGCCUGGGGAGUACGAUCGCAAGAUUAAA
This 377-nucleotide ribosomal RNA is filed under the name uncultured bacterium. RNAcentral's name for it is "bacterial SSU rRNA". It matches the Rfam family "Bacterial small subunit ribosomal RNA", at positions 523 to 898 of the family's 1533-position model. The record is from RNAcentral.